GCCCUGCUUGCAGGGUACUCGAGUGGCGAACGGGUGAGUAACACGUGGGUGAUCUGCCUCGUACUUCGGGAUAAGCCUGGGAAACUGGGUCUAAUACCGGAUAGGACCUUCUUUUAGUGUGGAAGGUGGAAAGUUUUUCGGUACGAGAUGAGCCCGCGGCCUAUCAGCUUGUUGGUGGGGUAAUGGCCUACCAAGGCGACGACGGGUAGCCGGCCUGAGAGGGUGUACGGCCACAUUGGGACUGAGACACGGCCCAGACUCCUACGGGAGGCAGCAGUGGGGAAUAUUGCACAAUGGGCGCAAGCCUGAUGCAGCGACGCCGCGUGAGGGAUGACGGCCUUCGGGUUGUAAACCUCUUUCGCUAGGGAAGAAGCCACUUUUGUGGUGACGGUACCUGGAUAAGAAGCACCGGCUAACUACGUGCCAGCAGCCGCGGUAAUACGUAGGGUGCAAGCGUUGUCCGGAAUUACUGGGCGUAAAGAGCUCGUAGGUGGUUUGUCGCGUCGUCUGUGAAAGCCCGGGGCUUAACUCCGGGUCUGCAGGCGAUACGGGCAUAACUAGAGUGCUGUAGGGGAGACUGGAAUUCCUGGUGUAGCGGUGAAAUGCGCAGAUAUCAGGAGGAACACCGAUGGCGAAGGCAGGUCUCUGGGCAGUAACUGACGCUGAGGAGCGAAAGCAUGGGGAGCGAACAGGAUUAGAUACCCUGGUAGUCCAUGCCGUAAACGGUGGGCGCUAGGUGU
RNAcentral lists this ribosomal RNA (740 nucleotides) under Corynebacterium sp. IE29. RNAcentral describes it as "bacterial SSU rRNA". It matches the Rfam family "Bacterial small subunit ribosomal RNA", at positions 73 to 823 of the family's 1533-position model. The record is from RNAcentral. Lineage: Bacteria; Bacillati; Actinomycetota; Actinomycetes; Mycobacteriales; Corynebacteriaceae.